AUUAUUUUCAUACAAUCGGCUCCCCCUCUUUCUCAACCUUUUCCCCCUCCCCUCUUGGAACAACAUAAAAAUUCAGACUUUUCUUAACUUCAGACUUAGUCAGUAUGUCAGAGUAGAGGGUUUUUAGGUACCUAACUUCAGCGAGUUAACAUCUGUUGUGGUGGACCCUUGGGGGUUGAUAUCUGCUGUUGCCAUCUGAGGAGUCUGAGCCUUGCACCUGGGCUUGGUGUUGGGUACAGGGAGCUCCAACAGAAGGGCCUCCAGUAUGCCAACAGAAAGCAGGCGAGAAUUUUUAUUUGUUAUAUUGGAGGGUCAGAGGGAGGAGUUGAAGGCCAAAUUUAGUGCUACAAAGUUCUUCAGCCUCUUGUCAUAUGACUCUACAGACAGUGAAGUCACUGAAGAGGAGAUCCUUUACACCCACUAGACCAUCAAAGGGGAGGCAACCAUUCACUUUUCAGCUUGGAGGCAGCGGCAUAUAUAUUGGCUGCCGUUGAGGUUGGGGCCUUAAGGGUGUUACCUGGCUGACGUGAGAAAUUCGAUAGCGAUGGGACAGACGUAAUGACAGGUCAUGUGGAGGGAGUU
Long non-coding RNA from Anguilla rostrata (American eel), 582 nucleotides. RefSeq lists it as uncharacterized. The record is from RefSeq and is a predicted model, not a curated record. NCBI's taxonomy places the organism in Eukaryota, Metazoa, Chordata, Actinopteri, Anguilliformes, Anguillidae. The transcript has 3 exons.